RNAcentral lists this small nuclear RNA (135 nucleotides) under Hofstenia miamia. Its description in RNAcentral is "U4 spliceosomal RNA". It matches the Rfam family "U4 spliceosomal RNA". From Rfam's summary of the family: U4 small nuclear RNA (U4 snRNA) is a component of the major U2-dependent spliceosome. The structure of U4 snRNA from yeast and human has been reported. The record is from RNAcentral. Lineage: Eukaryota; Metazoa; Xenacoelomorpha; Acoela; Hofsteniidae.
GUCUUUGCGCAGAGGCAGUAACAUAGCUGAUGAGGUUUUAACCGAGGCGUGUUUAUUGCUAAUUGAAAACUAUUCCCAAUACCCCGCCUGGACGACACCAGUCGGCCAAGGCAAUAUUUGACGGCUCAUGAUGAG